RNAcentral lists this ribosomal RNA (301 nucleotides) under uncultured bacterium. RNAcentral describes it as "partial 16S ribosomal RNA". It matches the Rfam family "Bacterial small subunit ribosomal RNA", at positions 509 to 809 of the family's 1533-position model. The record is from RNAcentral.
CAGCAGCCGCGGUAAUACGUAGGGUGCAAGCGUUAAUCGGAAUUACUGGGCGUAAAGCGUGCGCAGGCGGUUAUAUAAGACAGAUGUGAAAUCCCCGGGCUCAACCUGGGAACUGCAUUUGUGACUGUAUAGCUAGAGUACGGCAGAGGGGGAUGGAAUUCCGCGUGUAGCAGUGAAAUGCGUAGAUAUGCGGAGGAACACCGAUGGCGAAGGCAAUCCCCUGGGCCUGUACUGACGCUCAUGCACGAAAGCGUGGGGAGCAAACAGGAUUAGAUACCCGGGUAGUCCUGUCUCUUAUACA